Labeo rohita (rohu) is the source of this 342-nucleotide long non-coding RNA. RefSeq lists it as uncharacterized. The transcript has 3 exons. The record is from RefSeq and is a predicted model, not a curated record. NCBI's taxonomy places the organism in Eukaryota, Metazoa, Chordata, Actinopteri, Cypriniformes, Cyprinidae.
UAUUCAAACAAUGCUGGAAAGUGGAGCCAAUGAUCACUUUAGUGGUGCUGAUUUGUCAUGGUGACUAGACGAGGGAGGGAGACUUCACAGCGCACAGAGAAUCACAGAGGUAUCGUAGCAGCGGAGGGGUUCUGAAAUGAGGGGGGAUUCUGCUUUACGGAAAGUGCUGUCUGGAGGUCAGCCCAAGGGUAAAAUACUUCGCCAGGAGUCAGAGAGAGAUUCGCUCAGCUCUUUUUGGGACGAGCGUGGCCCAGCUCUCCUGCGCCUCGGGGUACAGCGCGAGCUUAUGGGUUACAGAAAGAGGCGAACGCAAGCAAAUGAUCAUAUCCUUGAAAGAGGCAG